UACAGAGGGUGCGAGCGUUGUUCGGAAUUAUUGGGCGUAAAGGGCGCGUAGGCGGUGCGGCAAGUCACCUGUGAAAACUCUGGGCUCAACCCAGAGCCUGCAUCCAAUACUGACGAACUAGAGUUCUGGAGGGGGUAGCGGAAUUCCUGGUGUAGCGGUGAAAUGCGUAGAUAUCUGGAGGAACACCGGUGGCGAAGGCGGCGUCCUGGACCAACACUGACACUGAGGAGCGAAAGCCAGGGGAGCAAACGGG
This 253-nucleotide ribosomal RNA is filed under the name uncultured bacterium. Its description in RNAcentral is "partial 16S ribosomal RNA". It matches the Rfam family "Bacterial small subunit ribosomal RNA", at positions 524 to 776 of the family's 1533-position model. The record is from RNAcentral.